GGCCCCUGGCACCCUCGGAUGGGAUAACAGAAACUGAUGCACACAGAGUGGGGUGCUGUGCCAGGCCCCCGCGCUCAGGACCAGCUCACCCACACCCAUGCACACAGGCUGCACUCCCCGUGCUCCGUGGGUCCCUAACUCUCAGCCCAUGGGUACUGUGGCCGCCCGUGAUUCCACUUCCUGUUAAAAUACACAAUUCACAUUGGGUCCAGGCAAAUGGAUGUAACACCCGGGCUUAGAGAGACACACUAAACUUUACUGACGACGCACGGUCAAAACGGUCACAGAGCCGCGUGGUGCUCGCUGGUUGCUGUCACUGUCAGAGGCACUUCCCACCCGCAUUCCCACCUGAGAGUGACCAAAACUUGCACACCAAAGGGACAUCACUUCAGCAAGUACCUGUACUACAAUCCACAGAAUCUAGUGGUGUUUUACGCCCUUAUGUAAGCCACUGAGUGGUCCUGCAGCCCCGGAAUGCUACCCACACAACUGCA
Molecule: long non-coding RNA, 494 nt
Organism: Lepus europaeus (European hare)
Lineage: Eukaryota; Metazoa; Chordata; Mammalia; Lagomorpha; Leporidae
Exons: 3
Source: RefSeq, a predicted model, not a curated record